RNAcentral lists this ribosomal RNA (449 nucleotides) under Centipeda dianae. Its description in RNAcentral is "bacterial SSU rRNA". It matches the Rfam family "Bacterial small subunit ribosomal RNA", at positions 28 to 458 of the family's 1533-position model. Lineage: Bacteria; Bacillati; Bacillota; Negativicutes; Selenomonadales; Selenomonadaceae. The record is from RNAcentral.
GACGAACGCUGGCGGCGUGCCUAACACAUGCAAGUCGAGCGGAGCGAAUGAAAGCUUGCUUUUAUGAGCUUAGUGGCAAACGGGUGAGUAACACGUAGACAACCUGCCGACAGGAUGGGGACAACAUUCCGAAAGGAAUGCUAAUACCGAAUGAAGCGGAGGAGAGGCACCUCUCCUCCGUGAAAGAUGGCCUCUGAACAUGCUAUCACCUGUCGAUGGGUCUGCGUCUGAUUAGCUAGUUGGUGAGGUAACGGCUCACCAAGGCGACGAUCAGUAGCCGGUCUGAGAGGAUGAACGGCCACAUUGGGACUGAGACACGGCCCAGACUCCUACGGGAGGCAGCAGUGGGGAAUCUUCCGCAAUGGGCGCAAGCCUGACGGAGCAACGCCGCGUGAGCGAAGAAGGUCUUCGGAUCGUAAAGCUCUGUUGACGGGGACGAACGUGCGAAG